Zophobas morio is the source of this 467-nucleotide long non-coding RNA. RefSeq lists it as uncharacterized. NCBI's taxonomy places the organism in Eukaryota, Metazoa, Arthropoda, Insecta, Coleoptera, Tenebrionidae. The transcript is spliced from 2 exons. The record is from RefSeq and is a predicted model, not a curated record.
AAACCAAUAGGAACUAUCUACACAAAGUCAAUAAUCAUAACAAUAUCGAUACUAUCGCCUGUAGUCGAAUCUUACCUUCCUUAGAGCUAAGGAAUACAUGCCUCCAAACAGUUUUUACUAUUUGUUGCUAAACAAUUAGCGCAAUCAAGCGUUCACUGGUGUUAUGACGUGGUUGAGUAAUUUAACGAUGGGAUUAAGUGACAAUGAAACAGUAAAUAAAUGCGUUUAGUUUUGUAACGCGAUGAGUGGAUAAUUAUUGUUGCCUGAGUGUUUUGUAAAAGGGUUGACACCAUGGGUUGACCGAUAAAUGGCGGCAAAAUGUUGAAGGUGCAUUUCCUGUUGUAGUAACGAGGGGACUUUAAAUGUAGGGUCUUAUACUCCUCCCAUUUGCAUAUACAUACAUCCCCAGUAGUACUACGAGUAUACAGAUGAAAAUAUUGAAUUAUUAAAUUUUAUUAAUAACUUUA